RNAcentral lists this transfer RNA (69 nucleotides) under Pseudohelice subquadrata. RNAcentral's name for it is "tRNA-Asp". The record is from RNAcentral. Lineage: Eukaryota; Metazoa; Arthropoda; Malacostraca; Decapoda; Varunidae.
AAGGAAUUAGUUAAAUUACCUUCAUAACUCUUGCUUGUCAUGCAAAAAUUAUCCUAUAGAUAUUCCUUA